UUUCUUCUGACUCUGGUGUGUCUUUGUUCAUAUUUUUCCCCUUCAAAAAAAAGUGUAGCAAGUUUUCAGUUUUCCCUUCAUAUAAGUUAAAAACAACAACAACAAAACUGGUAUCUGAUUACUGAGUACAAACUUCCAGCUGUUGCCAUUUUAAAGAUGUCAGCUUAUCACAAUGUGGGUGUGAAUAGGCAGCAUUUUCCAUGCUGUCUCUAAUUAAGCAUAUGUAUAUAUAAGCAGAGAGAAUCAAGGGCUUCUUUGCUGGUGUCGAUAGGCUGGCUCAUUGUAAAGGCAGAAUUAAGAAGAGAUCGAGAGGGAGACAGCUGAGUCCUCAUUAUAAUGGAACAGAGAGGCAAUGAAGGACUGGUGUUCCUGAGCAAUUUUUCCUUUGUCUCUGCAAUCGUCCUCCCUAAUUUUGUGUGGGAAAGAAUUUGUCUUCCAGAUACCUGGAUCUAGAUGUGUAUUAGAGCCAGCUUAAAAGAGUUCAUGAGAGCUGAACUGUUAAAUUUCCAGUGUGAACAUUUGUCGUGAGUCUUUUCAAUCAUUUUUGGGUUUUCUUGGCAAAGAUAUUGGAGAGGCAUACUAUUAUUUCCUCCUGCAGCUUAUUUUAUAUAUGAGGAAUUGAAGCUAAUUGAGUUAAGGGACUUGCCGAGGGUUAUACAACCAUCAUGUCUCUGAAGCCAAAUUUGAACUCGGGAAAGUGUUUUUUCUUCACUUCCAACCUAGUGCUCUAUCAAGUGUACCAUAUAGCUGCCCUAAUGUGAGCAUUUAUAGGGAAUGAACAAGUACUAUAAAUAAGGUCUUGACUUAGUUAUAUUCAUUGUCUAGACUUUUUUUUAAAAAAAUGAAAAAUGUUAAUGCAGAUUAAACUUAAAAAGUAUGUUAAAACUUAAAUUUAUAUGGCAAAAAUUAUCUUCCUUGAGUUCAAAAAUACCUCUAUUAUCUAACUCUAUAAAAGAAAAACAGGUUUUCCUGUGAUAAUCAAAAGGAGGAAUUUCUCUUAUUCAUUACUGUCAAGAUUCUUGUCAGAGUCCUUAAGAAGUUGAUCUUUUACCUGAAAGAUGGCUUCAGAAAGGGUCAAGGAAUGGUUGAUAUGGUGGUUUGCUGCCUGGCAACUCCAGGAGAAAUGCAAGAAAUUCUUUGUGAAACUUGAGAAGCAUAUCAGCAUCAUGCUAGGAAAUGGAAUCAUUUUCAUGUGAAUUGUUUUGGGAAGAUUCUAAAGCUCACCUGGCAAGAUAAGGUACCUAAUCACUCAAACUCUACUGCACUGAGCAAACUCCAAUGAGCAAGACAUAUUGUUUGAAGGUCAAAAGAAUAUUUGCCUAUAAGCCUAUUUUACAGACAACUCACACAAAGCAAGCACUCAUAUGGAAGUCAGAAGAAGGGAUAUAUGAACAUUUUCAAGGUCUCCCUGAAGAACUUUGUAAUCAAUUUUCUUUUAUGGGAGACAGGACCAUCCAGAAGAUGGGCCUGUGCCAAAGGAGACACUGUACUCUAGGAGAAAAUUAGAAUUGCAGUAACUCAAAAAAAGAUGAGAUGAGCAAAUUUAGAGACAUCUUCAUUACUAUUUAUGCUUUACUUGUGGUAGAGCCCGUACCUUGACCCCAAGAAAGUGAUGUCAUUUUGAUCCUCUUCAAGAAUAAAGGACAACAACCAUCUGUUAGAGGCAGAAUUUGAACCUUUGUUUCACAUUGUCUCCAAAUAUUUUAUUCAUCUUUGUACUCCCAUAGUAUCUAACAGAGUGCCUUAGAUAUAACUGACAUUCUCAAUUUGUUAAAUUAAAUUUAUGGUAUUUCCAGUGAAAACAAAUAAAGUUUGUUUUUCUAGCACUGA
Molecule: long non-coding RNA, 1830 nt
Organism: Sarcophilus harrisii (Tasmanian devil)
Lineage: Eukaryota; Metazoa; Chordata; Mammalia; Dasyuromorphia; Dasyuridae
Exons: 2
Source: RefSeq, a predicted model, not a curated record